RNAcentral lists this transfer RNA (72 nucleotides) under Camelus bactrianus (Bactrian camel). It matches the Rfam family "tRNA". Rfam says of the family: Transfer RNA (tRNA) molecules are approximately 80 nucleotides in length. Lineage: Eukaryota; Metazoa; Chordata; Mammalia; Artiodactyla; Camelidae. RNAcentral also lists the same sequence under 2 other names. The record is from Rfam by way of RNAcentral.
GAGGGGAUAGCUCAGUGGUAGAGUGCAUGCUUAGCAUGCAUGAGGUCCUGGGUUCAAUCCCCAGUACCUCCA